This 659-nucleotide unclassified non-coding RNA is filed under the name Zea mays. RNAcentral's name for it is "misc RNA Zm00001eb378860". Lineage: Eukaryota; Viridiplantae; Streptophyta; Magnoliopsida; Poales; Poaceae. The record is from RNAcentral.
ACGGUUUUUCCCUAAAGACCAUCUUAAAAAAAGGAAAAGAAGAGACUGGAAAAAAAAACAAUCUCCUUGGUCCUUGCUGACUCCAUCGGUCACUCCAAUGCGAUGCGAGCCCAUCAACCUUUUCGCUCACCAGCAGCCGCUGCUGCGGCCGCAAUGGCCACUCGUUCCAGUUCUUUGGCGUCGGCCAGCCACGGCCGCCGCCUCAACGCCGCCGUAUCUUCAACGUCACCGGCGGCAUCCGACGAGGUGCCAUCGAAGGUGCCGUCGAACGGCGCCUCGCAGAAGGCCAUCGUGGCCACGAGCCUAUCCACCGGCCGCUUCUUCGUCUUCGCGGCUGCGGCCAGCCUCGCCGGGGCCUCGGGGACGUUCGUUGCGCAGGCGCGGCCUCCGACAGCGGCACCUGGCGACAGAGCCCAGGCGCCGUCGAACGGCGCCUCGCAGAAGGCCAUCAUGGCCGCGACCCUCUCCAUCGGCCACUUGGCGGCCAGCAACGCCAACCUCGACGGCGCAGCCUUGGGAACGUUGGAUGAGGAUGGGCUGUUCCCGGCGGCAAGCGACGACGCAGCCGAGGUGCGGUCGAACGGUGCCUCGCUGAAGGCCACCAUGGCAAUGAGGCUCUCCAUCUCCAUCGCCGCUACCUCGAGUCUGUUCGAUUGGUU